RNAcentral lists this ribosomal RNA (354 nucleotides) under Laemophloeus biguttatus. RNAcentral's name for it is "partial 12S ribosomal RNA". Lineage: Eukaryota; Metazoa; Arthropoda; Insecta; Coleoptera; Laemophloeidae. The record is from RNAcentral.
UAUAAAUAUAAAAUUAUAAUAUGUUAAACAAUUAAUAGUUAUGGUCUUUAAAAUUAAAGAAUUUGGCGGUAUUUUAGUCUAUUCAGAGGAAUCUGUUCUGUAAUUGAUAAUCCACGAUUUAAUUUACUUAUAAUAAUUAGUUUGUAUAUCGUCGUAUUAGAAUAUUUUCUUAGGAUUUUAAUAUUCGAAGGUUUACUUAAAAAGUAAUUCAGAUCAAGGUGCAGUUUAUUUAUAAGAAGAAAUGGAUUACAUUAAAUUAUAUUUUUUGGAUAAAUUUAAAAAUUUAUUUUUUGAAAUUGGAUUUGAAAGUAAUUUUAAUAAAAAUAUUAAAAUGAUUAAAGCUCUAAAAUAUGC